AGAAGGGAAAAGAAGAAGAAGAAGAAGAAAAAAGGAAAAAUAUAUAAUUUUUUAAUUAAUUAAUAAAUAAUAAUAAUAAUAAAAAAAAUCAAUGAUCCUGCCGCUUCCGCUUCUCCGCCACAACGUUCCUCCGUCGCUGCUCCGCUGCUCUGCCCGGCGGUCGGCUCACCGGCAGGUUCUGGCAUCACUCCGAGGUGAUCAAUGGAAGCUCUCCAACAUCGAUCCAGAGGCGGUGCAGGAGAGGCUGAGUUCAUGGCUGCUGAAAGCUCAGGCUUUGCUCACCGACGUGGCGGCACCGCUGGUGAAGCAGGGGCAGGGGAAGAAAGCUGGAAAAGAGAGUGAUAUGGAGGGAGUGGAUGGAGAGGAAGAGAUUUUUGUGGAUUCUGAGAUGACUGUUGAGAGAAUGACCCCAAAUGGGUGCCUCUCGUUUGCGGCUGCUGUCUCGAUUGAGCAGUUUGGCAGGAUGAAUGGGUUGACAGGAAGGAAGAUGCAGAGGAUUUUCGAGGCAUUGGCACCGGAACAUGCUCAAUUUGAUGCGAGAAGCUUAGUGGAGUAUUGUUGCUUUAGAUAUUUGUCAAGGGAUAGUUCUGAUUUCCACCCCGGCUUGAAGGAUCCUGCAUUCCAGAGACUUAUUUUCCUAACAAUGCUUGCUUGGGAGCAACCUUACAGUACAGGUAGUGAUUUGCAAGUUGAUUCAGAGAAUUCCUCUUUGCAGAGGAGAUUAGUUGGUAAAGAGGCCUUUGUUCGAAUAGCUCCUGCAGUUGCAGGUGUGGCAGACUCAUCAACAGCUCAUCACCUUUUCAAAGCCCUUGCUGGAGCUGAAAAUGGGAUCUCAUUGAGCUUGUGGAUGACAUUUAUUGCUGAACUUUUCAAGGUACAUGAGGGAAGGAAGUCAUACCAAACUAAUGAUGUUAUGCAAAAGGAGCAACUUUUAUGCAUUGGUUCUAGUAGGAAGAGACCUGUUUUAAAAUGGGAGGGUAACAUUGCAUGGCCUGGAAAUCUAACUCUUACAGACAGUGCACUAUAUUUUGAGGCAAUUGGACUGACAGGUGCUAAAAACAUUAUAAGGUUGGAUCUCAAAUGUCAUGGUUCACAAGUCAAGAAAACAAAAGUUGGACCUUUAGGAUCCAAACUUUUUGAUUCAGCUGUCUCUGUUUCAUCAGGGGAACUAUCAGAAACUUGGGUUUUGGAAUUUGUUGAUUUUGGUGGAGAAAUGAGACGGGAAGUUUGGCAUGCUUUCAUUAGUGAGGUUAUUUCUUUAUAUAAGUUCAUACGUGAAUUUGGACCAGUUGAUGGUGAUCCCUUAAUACAUCAAGUAUAUGGUGCUCAAAAAGGUAAAAGCAGAGCCAUUAGAAGUGUGGCAAACAGUAUUGCGCGGUUGCAAUCUCUUCAGUUUAUUCGGAGAUUAGCUGAAGAUCCAGCAAAACUAGUCCAGUUUUCAUACCUAAGGAAUGUACCUUAUGGCGAUGUUGUUCUCCAAACCUUGGCGGUGAACUUUUGGGGUGGGCAACUGAUAAGAAAGUUUAAACAGGAAGGCUACCUGUCUACUCGGUGGGGCAUACCUGAAGAGCUUUCAGUCAGCAAUAUUCAUAUAUUUGAUGUAGAUGGAAGUGUAUACUUGCGCAAGUGGAUGAGAUCUCCAACUUGGGGAACCAGUGCCUCUGUUACAUUCUGGAAGAACACAUCAGUCAAACAAGGGAUCAUAUUGAGCAAGAAUCAUGUUGUCGCUGAUCUGAAUCUUGUGGAAAGGGCUGCAUUAACAUGCAGAGAGAAAAGCUGGAUGGUGGAAAAGACUCAAGCGACUAUUGAUGCUGCUAUGAUCAAGGGCAUUCCAAGCAACAUCGACCUCUUCAAGGAGCUUAUGCUUCCUUGUGUGUUUGUUGUUAAAAACUUCGACAAACUCCGACGAUGGGAGGAGCCACGAUGGACAUUAUCUUUCCUUGUUUUUGCCUAUACUAGUUACAUUCAGGAACCUGCUCCCAUAUGUAUUCCCCUCGACAUUGAUGCUUAUGGGUACUGCCAUGUUAUUUCUAAAGGGACUAAAAGAACAAGGCCGGUUGGGCAGAUCUAUUGGUAAAGUUACAAUACGAGAUCAACCACCAUCCAACACAAUUCAGAAGAUCAUAGCUCUCAAAGAGGCCAUGGCCGACAUGGAGGAUUUUCUCCAAAGGGUUAAUAUCUUUCUUUUAAAGGUCCGAACAAUCAUCUUAGCAGGCCAACCCUGAGAUCACAAGAGAUGUUGCUCUUUUGCUGCUGUGUGGUUCAAUUGUUCUUCUAGUAAUUCCUUUCAAGUACAUCUUCGCCUUUGUCCUCUUCGAUCUCUUCACACGGGAGCUGGAAUUCCGGAAAGAAAUGGUGAUUAGAUUCAUGAACCUUCUAAAGGAACGGUGGGCAUCGGUAUAUGCUGCGCCGGUGAUCGUGUUACCAUAUGAGGAUGAUAAAUCCAACUCUGAAACAACUAUCGUCAAGGAAGGAGAUCAAACCAAUACCGAUAGAAUUCAAAGAAACUCGCCUAAAUCUUGAUGCAAGAAGUGAUAAAUAAACACAGUUUCUCACUAACCUCCGGCUUCUGUCUGCCUUUCAUGUACAGGAUUAGAAGUAGGAAUACUGUCUCUGGUUCAUUGGAAAAACUGAAAAAUGUAUACGAAAAAGACGAGAAUUAUUCUGUAAAACCAAAUAAGCAAUGCAGAGCUUCCUUUGAUGAAUA
RNA transcript from Dioscorea cayenensis subsp. rotundata (Guinea yam), 2707 nucleotides. RefSeq lists it as uncharacterized. The record is from RefSeq and is a predicted model, not a curated record. The transcript is spliced from 11 exons. Lineage: Eukaryota; Viridiplantae; Streptophyta; Magnoliopsida; Dioscoreales; Dioscoreaceae.